CUGGAGAUGAAGGCAGGGACAGGGAUCCACUUCUCUUAAAGUGACAUCCAUGAUUUUUGAGUAGGGCAUUGAGAAGGUGAUACCCUCUGGCAAAGACAACUGAAGUCCAAGUCUUCUCAGACUGACCUUCAUAGAGUUUCCACCAUAUCAGUGAAGGAAGAAAAGGAGCCCCACCCCUUUAGCCACAGUCACCAGGGGUUUAACCUCUGCAACCAGAGCCAUCAUGAGCGGAACAUGUUUUCCCCACCAUGUGCUUCUGCCAUGAUGUAUUGCCCUAUCACAUGCCCCAAAGAAAUGGAACCAGUCACACAAGGCAAACAGGCUUCUGCCACCACGUACUUCUGCCAUGAUGUACUGCAUCACCACAGGCUCAAAAACAAUGAGGCAAAGCAACCAUGGACUGAAACCUCUAAAACCAUAAGACAAAAGGCAGAAGAAUGUAGCACUGCUGAGCAUUGGC
This is a long non-coding RNA of Heterocephalus glaber (naked mole-rat), 460 nucleotides long. The record is from Ensembl. Lineage: Eukaryota; Metazoa; Chordata; Mammalia; Rodentia; Bathyergidae.